RNAcentral lists this transfer RNA (72 nucleotides) under Camelus bactrianus (Bactrian camel). It matches the Rfam family "tRNA". Rfam says of the family: Transfer RNA (tRNA) molecules are approximately 80 nucleotides in length. Lineage: Eukaryota; Metazoa; Chordata; Mammalia; Artiodactyla; Camelidae. RNAcentral also lists the same sequence under 2 other names. The record is from Rfam by way of RNAcentral.
GAGGGUAUAGCUCAUCGGUAGAGCACAUGCUUAGCAUGCAUGAUGUCCUGGGUUCAAUCCCCAGCAGCUCCG